GACGAACGCUGGCGGCGUGCUUAACACAUGCAAGUCGAACGGAAAGGCCUGCUUUCCCUUGUGGAUUGCGGGUGCUCGAGUGGCGAACGGGUGAGUAACACGUGAGUGAUCUGCCCCCAACUUGGGUAUAAGCCUGGGAAACUGGGUCUAAUUCCCGAUAGGACUGCAGGGUGGUGCCUGUGGUGGAAAACGAUUUUCUAGUGGUUGGGGAUGAGCUCGCGGCCUAUCAGCUUGUUGGUGGGGUAAUGGCCUACCAAGGCGGCGACGGGUAGCCGGCCUGAGAGGGUGGACGGCCACAUUGGGACUGAGCUACGGCCCAGACUCCUACGGGAGGCAGCAGUGGGGAAUAUUGCACAAUGGGCGGAAGCCUGAUGCAGCGACGCCGCGUGGGGGAUGACGGCCUUCGGGUUGUAAACUCCUUUCGACCGCGAGGAAGCCACCUGGUUGGAAGGGUGGUGACGGUAGUGGUAGAAGAAGCACCGGCUAACUACGUG
This 494-nucleotide ribosomal RNA is filed under the name uncultured bacterium. RNAcentral's name for it is "partial 16S ribosomal RNA". It matches the Rfam family "Bacterial small subunit ribosomal RNA", at positions 28 to 507 of the family's 1533-position model. The record is from RNAcentral.